AAAAAAGCGAUGACAGAGGAAAAGUAAGAUUUGUUUAUUUUAUCCAGAGAGCUUCGAAUGCUGAGAAGAAGUUAAAAGACAAAUCAGAACAAUGGCCUCUAUGAGCUUCGUGCUGAAUGUAUCCCUAAUGAUUAGUAGGCUUCGACGGGGUGGUGCCCGUUAUCAUAACCAAAGUAUGAAUUGUUCAUUGCAAACGGUGAUGUUACCACUUCUAAGUGGCUACCUUUGUAAAUCAAGAGUACUUAUAGAGGCUGUAUAUGUGAAUAUAUAGUAAAAUAAGGUGGUACCACGUAAAUAAAACCACGUCCUUAUC
This 313-nucleotide non-coding RNA is filed under the name Virgibacillus pantothenticus. Its description in RNAcentral is "T-box sequence". It matches the Rfam family "T-box leader". From Rfam's summary of the family: Uncharged tRNA acts as the effector for transcription antitermination of genes in the T-box leader family. T-boxes are found upstream of many aminoacyl-tRNA synthetase genes and some amino acid biosynthetic genes usually in Gram-positive bacteria. The record is from RNAcentral. Lineage: Bacteria; Bacillati; Bacillota; Bacilli; Caryophanales; Bacillaceae.